GAACCGAGCGAACGUUGUUCGGAAUCACUGGGCUUAAAGGGCGCGUAGGCGGGCUGUCAAGUCUGGGGUGAAAUCCCGCGGCUCAACCGUGGAACUGCCUCAGAUACUGACGGCCUCGAGGGAGGUAGGGGCGUGCGGAACUGUAGGUGGAGCGGUGAAAUGCGUUGAUAUCUACAGGAACUCCGGUGGCGAAAGCGGCGCGCUGGACCUCUUCUGACGCUGAGGCGCGAAAGCUAGGGGAGCAAACGGGAUUAGAUACCCCGGUAGUCCUAGCCCUAAACGAUGGGUACUAGGUAGUAGACUAGAUAUGGGUUUACUGCCGAAGCUAAAGUGCUAAGUACCCCGCCUGGGGAGUAUGGUCGCAAGGCUGAA
This 372-nucleotide ribosomal RNA is filed under the name uncultured bacterium. Its description in RNAcentral is "bacterial SSU rRNA". It matches the Rfam family "Bacterial small subunit ribosomal RNA", at positions 527 to 898 of the family's 1533-position model. The record is from RNAcentral.